Vicia faba (fava bean) is the source of this 213-nucleotide non-coding RNA. The record is from the annotation of a GenBank genome assembly. Lineage: Eukaryota; Viridiplantae; Streptophyta; Magnoliopsida; Fabales; Fabaceae.
AUGAUAGUCAUGUAUGUCAUUAUCCCCCAUCAUUCUAGGGAACCUAGUCCACUAGAUAACCAUACGGUUGACCCCCUGACUUCUCGUCCACUUCAAACAUAUCAGUGUCGUCAACCAACGUCCGUCGUACAUGUCCUUGAGGUCAUUGCAGACUCUCCUCUGACGCUCUCGCCAUCACCUGAUCCAUCCUGCAAUUUAAGUCCAAUCUUCUGA